RNAcentral lists this ribosomal RNA (492 nucleotides) under uncultured bacterium. RNAcentral describes it as "partial 16S ribosomal RNA". It matches the Rfam family "Bacterial small subunit ribosomal RNA", at positions 29 to 507 of the family's 1533-position model. The record is from RNAcentral.
AGUGAACGCUGGCGGUAGGCCUAACACAUGCAAGUCGAACGGCAGCACAGUAAGAGCUUGCUCUUACGGGUGGCGAGUGGCGGACGGGUGAGGAAUACAUCGGAAUCUACUUUUUCGUGGGGGAUAACGUAGGGAAACUUACGCUAAUACCGCAUACGACCUACGGGUGAAAUCAGGGGAUCUUCGGACCUUGCGCGAUUGAAUUAGCCGAUGUCGGAUUAGCUAGUUGGCGGGGUAAAGGCCCACCAAGGCGAAGAUCCGUAGCUGGUCUGAGAGGAUGAUAAGCCACACUGGAACUGAGACACGGUCCAGACUCCUACGGGAGGCAGCAGUGGGGAAUAUUGGACAAUGGGCGCAAGCCUGAUCCAGCCAUACCGCGUGGGUGAAGAAGGCCUUCGGGUUGUAAAGCCCUUUUGUUGGGAAAGAAAAGCAGCAGGUUAAUACCCCGCUGUUCUGACGGUACCCAAAGAAUAAGCACCGGCUAACUUCGUG